Molecule: ribosomal RNA, 494 nt
Filed under: uncultured bacterium
Lineage: Bacteria
Description: partial 16S ribosomal RNA
Rfam family: Bacterial small subunit ribosomal RNA
Source: RNAcentral
GACGAACGCUGGCGGCGUGCCUAAUACAUGCAAGUCGAACGCUGAAGGAGGAGCUUGCUUCUCUGGAUGAGUUGCGAACGGGUGAGUAACGCGUAGGUAACCUGCCUGGUAGCGGGGGAUAACUAUUGGAAACGAUAGCUAAUACCGCAUAACAGUAGAUAUCGCAUGAUAUCUACUUGAAAGGUGCAAUUGCAUCACUACCAGAUGGACCUGCGUUGUAUUAGCUAGUUGGUGAGGUAACGGCUCACCAAGGCGACGAUACAUAGCCGACCUGAGAGGGUGAUCGGCCACACUGGGACUGAGACACGGCCCAGACUCCUACGGGAGGCAGCAGUAGGGAAUCUUCGGCAAUGGACGGAAGUCUGACCGAGCAACGCCGCGUGAGUGAAGAAGGUUUUCGGAUCGUAAAGCUCUGUUGUAAGAGAAGAACGAGUGUGAGAGUGGAAAGUUCACACUGUGACGGUAUCGUACCAGAAAGGGACGGCUAACUACGU